ACGUAGGUGGCAAGCGUUGUCCGGAAUUACUGGGUGUAAAGGGAGCGUAGGCGGGAAUGCAAGUUGAAUGUUUAAACUAUCGGCUCAACUGAUAAUCGCGUUCAAAACUGCAUUUCUUGAGUGGAGUAGAGGCAGGCGGAAUUCCUAGUGUAGCGGUGAAAUGCGUAGAUAUUAGGAGGAACACCAGUGGCGAAGGCGGCCUGCUGGGCUCUAACUGACGCUGAGGCUCGAAAGCGUGGGUAGCAAACAG
RNAcentral lists this ribosomal RNA (250 nucleotides) under uncultured bacterium. RNAcentral's name for it is "partial 16S ribosomal RNA". It matches the Rfam family "Bacterial small subunit ribosomal RNA", at positions 525 to 775 of the family's 1533-position model. The record is from RNAcentral.